This 156-nucleotide small nucleolar RNA is filed under the name Zalophus californianus (California sea lion). RNAcentral also lists the same sequence under 2 other names. The record is from RNAcentral. Lineage: Eukaryota; Metazoa; Chordata; Mammalia; Carnivora; Otariidae.
UCUGCACAUUGUUAGAGCUUGGAGUUGAGGCCACUGGCUGGCCGAUGAACUCACAAGUGUAGGUAGUGUGCUACACGAGGGGCAAGUCUUUUCGCUAACACCACAAGGGUCUCUGGGCCCAAUGAGUGGAGUUUGAUAGUAAUUCUUGCUACAAGU